RNAcentral lists this ribosomal RNA (253 nucleotides) under uncultured bacterium. RNAcentral's name for it is "partial 16S ribosomal RNA". It matches the Rfam family "Bacterial small subunit ribosomal RNA", at positions 524 to 776 of the family's 1533-position model. The record is from RNAcentral.
GACAGAGGGUGCAAACGUUGCUCGGAAUCACUGGGCGUAAAGCGCGUGUAGGCGGUCCGGUAAGUCCGCUGUGAAAGUCGGGGGCUCAACCCUCGGAUGCCGGUGGAUACUGUCGGGCUUGAGUACGGAAGAGGCGAGUGGAAUUCCUGGUGUAGCGGUGAAAUGCGCAGAUAUCAGGAGGAACACCAAUUGCGAAGGCAGCUCGCUGGGACGUUACUGACGCUGAGACGCGAAAGCGUGGGGAGCAAACAGG